CAGAGAUUUUGUGUUAUGAAGAUGGGAAUAACAUUUGGGAGGAACAUGUAUAAUCAUUCCAGCUGGAUUUGAUGGGGUAGCUGGGCCGCAUUUCCAUAAGUCUAAGUUUAUGUUUCUUCAACAAGUGAUGGGUCUCGCCUUAUCUUCUUUUACUUGUAAGAGAAUAGGAGAAGCUAGUUAUCACUAGUCAGUAUUGUCUAAAACACUGUAAUAUUUAUCUAAUGCUAUUCUAAACCAAAGUUAAGUGAGGGUUUUAAAGUAUUUUAUAAAGAGUUAUGUGCAUCUGUUUUUGUUAGUUUUUCCUUUUCAGUUUUCACAUAUUCUCCACAACUACACAAAUACUCCGGUAUAUGUUUAUAUCCCAAAUUUCAGCUGUCCCCCAAAAUCCUCUUUUUUCUCUUUUCUCUCUGCUCAUUCUCAUCAUUACAUUUCAGUCAAUUUCUUUCUUUGUAGAGAUGACGUUGGUUCUCUCUACAAUCUAGAGUCUCUAAUUUCAUCAAAGAAAAGGUACUGAUUUAUUUUCCUAAUAUUCUCUUCCAUUAUGGUUUUCUGUCAAUCUAUGAAUUCCCAUUCGUAAACCUUUUCCUCUCUAUUUGUUGAAAUCAGGGAAAACCCUUAGAAGAUGAAAUUCUACCCGAGUCUUAAUGGUUACUGAUUUUUUAAACUCAAAUCAUUUUACUUUAAUUUUCGGGUUUUUCCACCUGUUCUGUUAUUUGUAAGCAGGGAGUUUGGAAUUGUGGGAUUUUGAAUUAUAAAAUUAUUGCUCAAGGUUGAUUUUUUUAUUUUUUCCCUUGAAGAGAUAGGUAAUGAGUAUAUGAAUGAGACAGGUUCUUUUGUAAGGGACAUAUAUGGUUCAUAUGAGGAAGGCAUUUUCCUGCAAUUGCAUUCUUCAUAUCUUUUGGUUCUUUAACCUGCCAUCUGGGGCUCUACAACUGUUACUCUUUUUUGACGGAGUCCAACAACAAUCCACUUUUGAGUUUUUGACAAUUGUUUCAUUGUUAUGAACUUCAUUAUGUGUGUUUAAAGAGUUUGAUCCUGUUUUUUAAUUCCUUGGUGAUAUAGUCUAAAAAUUCAUCAUAAAUACCUAGUUCUUCUUUUUCAGUCUCCCUUAUUCUUAUCACUCCCAAAAUCUAACCUUCAUCUAUUUCUCCUCUCUAACUUAUUUGUAUAUAUUUUCCUCCCACUUUUGUUUCAAAAAUCUGCAAGCAAAAUUUUUCAUAAAUGUUAUGGUUGUCAAAUGUUCUUUGCUCUCAUGCUUUUAUAAAUUGUGGUUCAUAGGAAUGGUAGAUGAGAAUCCCAUGCUUGUCAACUUGAAAAAGAAGGAAGCCCAAAGGAUGGCUAAACCUCUUCUUGAAUGCGAAAGAGGCUACAGAGAAGCAUCUGUUGAUAUGUGUGAAUACUUAUCAGAGGGAGAGAGUUUACAAGUCUCUAGAUGGCCGUGGCUUGUUCUGAACAAGCAGUUGAAGAAACCACUGCAAAUCAGGCAGAUUAAACUCCUUCCAUUCAAUGGGUUUAUGAACUUAGCACACAAGUAGACAGUGUGAUCGUGAUAGAUAAAGAAGGCUCUUUGAUAGAUCAUCAAUCAAUUAGAUUUGCAUCUUCCAGUCUUCUCCAACUGAAAGAAUGAAACAGUUUGUGGAAGCUUAAAAUCAUCUUGUGGAAGCUAGUAUGGGAGAUUUUGCCUUCUAAGUUCUAACUAUGUCAUUUACAAGGGAAUGCAAUUUCUAGAGUCUUCUUGACUUCUUGUUCCUAAUGUUAUUCAAAUUAAGAAACUCUUGAGCAUAUUUUCUUCAGAUGCCCAUUUGCCUUCUAAGUUCUAUCCCAAAUCCACUGCUGAUUGGACUAGAAUGAUU
Molecule: long non-coding RNA, 1853 nt
Organism: Quercus lobata
Lineage: Eukaryota; Viridiplantae; Streptophyta; Magnoliopsida; Fagales; Fagaceae
Exons: 5
Source: RefSeq, a predicted model, not a curated record